UUUAAUUAAUUUUAAUAUAAUUUGCUAUAAGAGUCUAUUUAAAACUUAAAAGACAAGAAAGAUAAAUUGAAGUUUAAUCUAACAUUUUUCAGUCCAAAAUUUCCACUAAAAAAAGAGUGUUUAUUACAAGAUCAGACGAUGUAAAAUUUGCAAUAGGAACGAUCGUAACACAUCAUAAUAUGUGUGAAGAUAAUUGUACUGGAGUUAUUAUUGGAUGGGAACAACAUACAAACAAAUAUGUUAAAUUCAAAGAAGAAACGAGAGAUAAAAUAUAUGCAGAACUAGAUAUCUUGCCACUGAAUCACUGUUACAAUCAACAGUUUAGAGAUCACGAACAAACCAAUUACAUUAUUCUUACCGAUAACAAUAAAAUCUGUUAUGUGAAUGAAGAUUCUAUAACUUUAACAACGCCGAAAUGGAUCGAUAAUAGCGAAAUAGGUCGUUAUUUUUGCAAAUUCGAACACACGCAUUACAUACCAAAUGAAGGGCUGGCAAGAAUCUAUCCGCAGGACGCUACUAUAGUAGCCUAGAGAACAAUAUCUGACUUUUAGCGACCAUUUAACAGUGGACUGCCUCUUCUCAUCGCGCGUUUUACAAAUUCCUCAAAAAUUGAAAUUCGUACCAUUCUAUAAACCGUACAAGGCCCCACCAGCGGCACCCGUUGUGAAA
Nylanderia fulva is the source of this 669-nucleotide non-coding RNA. The record is from RefSeq and is a predicted model, not a curated record. Lineage: Eukaryota; Metazoa; Arthropoda; Insecta; Hymenoptera; Formicidae.